UCGAUAACGAACGAGACCUUAACCUGCUAACUAGUGGACGCUAUGAUUUUAUAGUUGACACUUCUUAGAGGGACAAAGUAUGUUUAAUACUUGGAAGUUUGAGGCAAUAACAGGUCUGUGAUGCCCUUAGAUGUUCUGGGCCGCACGCGCGCUACACUGAUAAAGGCAGCGAGUACUUUCCUUCUUUGAAAAAAGUGGGUAAUCUUGUGAAACUUUAUCGUGAUGGGGAUAGAGCAUUGUAAUUAUUGCUCUUUAAACGAGGAAUUCCUAGUAAGCGCAAGUCAUCAGCUUGCGUUGAUUACGUCCCUGCCCUUUGUACACACCGCCCGUCACUACUACCGAUUGAAUGGCU
RNAcentral lists this ribosomal RNA (352 nucleotides) under uncultured eukaryote. RNAcentral describes it as "bacterial SSU rRNA". It matches the Rfam family "Eukaryotic small subunit ribosomal RNA", at positions 1325 to 1698 of the family's 1831-position model. The record is from RNAcentral.